GAUGAACGCUGGCGGCGUGCCUAAUACAUGCAAGUCGAGCGAACGGACGAGAAGCUUGCUUUUCUGAUGUUAGCGGCGGACGGGUGAGUAACACGUGGAUAACCUACCUAUAAGACUGGGAUAACUUCGGGAAACCGGAGCUAAUACCGGAUAAUAUUUUGAACCGCAUGGUUCAAAAGUGAAAGACGGUCUUGCUGUCACUUAUAGAUGGAUCCGCGCUGCAUUAGCUAGUUGGUAAGGUAACGGCUUACCAAGGCAACGAUGCAUAGCCGACCUGAGAGGGUGAUCGGCCACACUGGAACUGAGACACGGUCCAGACUCCUACGGGAGGCAGCAGUAGGGAAUCUUCCGCAAUGGGCGAAAGCCUGACGGAGCAACGCCGCGUGAGUGAUGAAGGUCUUCGGAUCGUAAAACUCUGUUAUUAGGGAAGAACAUAUGUGUAAGUAACUGUGCACAUCUUGACGGUACCUAAUCAGAAAGCCACGGCUAACUACGUGCCAGCAGCCGCGGUAAUACGUAGGUGGCAAGCGUUAUCCGGAAUUAUUGGGCGUAAAGCGCGCGUAGGCGGUUUUUUAAGUCUGAUGUGAAAGCCCACGGCUCAACCGUGGAGGGUCAUUGGAAACUGGAAAACUUGAGUGCAGAAGAGGAAAGUGGAAUUCCAUGUGUAGCGGUGAAAUGCGCAGAGAUGUGGAGGAACACCAGUGGCGAAGGCGACUUUCUGGUCUGUAACUGACGCUGAUGUGCGAAAGCGUGGGGAUCAAACAGGAUUAGAUACCCUGGUAGUCCACGCCGUAAACGAUGAGUGCUAAGUGUUAGGGGGUUUCCGCCCCUUAGUGCUGCAGCUAACGCAUUAAGCACUCCGCCUGGGGAGUACGACCGCAAGGUUGAAACUCAAAGGAAUUGACGGGGACCCGCACAAGCGGUGGAGCAUGUGGUUUAAUUCGAAGCAACGCGAAGAACCUUACCAAAUCUUGACAUCCUUUGACAACUCUAGAGAUAGAGCCUUCCCCUUCGGGGGACAAAGUGACAGGUGGUGCAUGGUUGUCGUCAGCUCGUGUCGUGAGAUGUUGGGUUAAGUCCCGCAACGAGCGCAACCCUUAAGCUUAGUUGCCAUCAUUAAGUUGGGCACUCUAAGUUGACUGCCGGUGACAAACCGGAGGAAGGUGGGGAUGACGUCAAAUCAUCAUGCCCCUUAUGAUUUGGGCUACACACGUGCUACAAUGGACAAUACAAAGGGCAGCGAAACCGCGAGGUCAAGCAAAUCCCAUAAAGUUGUUCUCAGUUCGGAUUGUAGUCUGCAACUCGACUACAUGAAGCUGGAAUCGCUAGUAAUCGUAGAUCAGCAUGCUACGGUGAAUACGUUCCCGGGUCU
This 1372-nucleotide ribosomal RNA is filed under the name uncultured bacterium. Its description in RNAcentral is "bacterial SSU rRNA". It matches the Rfam family "Bacterial small subunit ribosomal RNA", at positions 28 to 1381 of the family's 1533-position model. The record is from RNAcentral.